This 673-nucleotide unclassified non-coding RNA is filed under the name Crocus niveus. Its description in RNAcentral is "sequence contains ITS1, 5.8S rRNA gene and ITS2". The stretch from base 267 to 422 matches the Rfam family "5.8S ribosomal RNA". Lineage: Eukaryota; Viridiplantae; Streptophyta; Magnoliopsida; Asparagales; Iridaceae. The record is from RNAcentral.
CCGAGACCCGAACGAACGGACGAUUGCGAACGUGGUACAACACCCCUACUUACCCGCGACUCCGCCUCGUCCCGUCGCUCCUCGCGGCGCGGCGCGGCGAGACGGAGGAAACGAAACCCCGGCGCAGUGGGCGCCAAGGAACACUUUCUGGAAGCGUCGUCGCGGCCCUCUCCCCCUCCCUUUCUAGUACUACUACUGCUACUACUACGACGGGGAGGAAAAGGGAGGCGGAACGCGGGCGUGGAUAUAGAUAUCGUAUUCUGUACGACUCUCGGCAACGGAUAUCUAGGCUCUCGCAUCGAUGAAGAACGUAGCGAGAUGCGAUACUUGGUGUGAAUUGCAGAAUCCCGUGAACCAUCGAGUCUUUGAACGCAAGUUGCGCCCGAGGCCAUCCGGUCGAGGGCACGCCUGCCUGGGCGUCACGCCUCCCGUCGCUCCCCCACAGCCGUGCGGAUGCGGAGAUUGGCCCCCCGUGCCUCGUGCGCGGCGGGUCGAAGUGCGGGCCUUCGUCGGGCCGGGCGCGGGGAAUGGUGGACGAAUACAUCGCUGUUUGUGCCUACUCCCCGUGCCCCUGCCCUCAGCAACGCGACGCGCCGUCGUCGGACCCCUCACCGAGCGAGGGCCCUCUCGGCCUCCGAAUAAGAAGAAAGAAGGAACCUCCUCCCUCGGAACG